UUAAGUUAUUAAGGGCGCACGGUGGAUGCCUUGGCACUAGAAGCCGAUGAAGGACGUUACUAACGACGAUAUGCUUUGGGGAGCUGUAAGUAAGCUUUGAUCCAGAGAUUUCCGAAUGGGGAAACCCAACAUGAGUUAUGUCAUGUUAUCGAUAUGUGAAUACAUAGCAUAUCAGAAGGCACACCCGGAGAACUGAAACAUCUUAGUACCCGGAGGAAGAGAAAGAAAAUUCGAUUCCCUUAGUAGCGGCGAGCGAAACGGGAAGAGCCCAAACCAACAAGCUUGCUUGUUGGGGUUGUAGGACACUCUAUACGGAGUUACAAAGGACGACAUUAGACGAAUCAUCUGGAAAGAUGAAUCAAAGAAGGUAAUAAUCCUGUAGUCGAAAAUGUUGUCUCUCUUGAGUGGAUCCUGAGUACGACGGAGCACGUGAAAUUCCGUCGGAAUCUGGGAGGACCAUCUCCUAAGGCUAAAUACUCUCUAGUGACCGAUAGUGAACCAGUACCGUGAGGGAAAGGUGAAAAGCACCCCGGAAGGGGAGUGAAAUAGAACCUGAAACCGUGUGCUUACAAGUAGUCAGAGCCCGUUAAUGGGUGAUGGCGUGCCUUUUGUAGAAUGAACCGGCGAGUUACGAUUUGAUGCAAGGUUAAGCAGUAAAUGUGGAGCCGUAGCGAAAGCGAGUCUGAAUAGGGCGUUUAGUAUUUGGUCGUAGACCCGAAACCAGGUGAUCUACCCUUGGUCAGGUUGAAGUUCAGGUAACACUGAAUGGAGGACCGAACCGACUUACGUUGAAAAGUGAGCGGAUGAACUGAGGGUAGCGGAGAAAUUCCAAUCGAACCUGGAGAUAGCUGGUUCUCUCCGAAAUAGCUUUAGGGCUAGCCUCAAGUGAUGAUUAUUGGAGGUAGAGCACUGUUUGGACGAGGGGCCCCUCUCGGGUUACCGAAUUCAGACAAACUCCGAAUGCCAAUUAAUUUAACUUGGGAGUCAGAACAUGGGUGAUAAGGUCCGUGUUCGAAAGGGAAACAGCCCAGACCACCAGCUAAGGUCCCAAAAUAUAUGUUAAGUGGAAAAGGAUGUGGCGUUGCCCAGACAACUAGGAUGUUGGCUUAGAAGCAGCCAUCAUUUAAAGAGUGCGUAAUAGCUCACUAGUCGAGUGACACUGCGCCGAAAAUGUACCGGGGCUAAACAUAUUACCGAAGCUGUGGAUUGUCCUUUGGACAAUGGUAGGAGAGCGUUCUAAGGGCGUUGAAGCAUGAUCGCAAGGACAUGUGGAGCGCUUAGAAGUGAGAAUGCCGGUGUGAGUAGCGAAAGACGGGUGAGAAUCCCGUCCACCGAUUGACUAAGGUUUCCAGAGGAAGGCUCGUCCGCUCUGGGUUAGUCGGGUCCUAAGCUGAGGCCGACAGGCGUAGGCGAUGGAUAACAGGUUGAUAUUCCUGUACCACCUAUAAUCGUUUUAAUCGAUGGGGGGACGCAGUAGGAUAGGCGAAGCGUGCGAUUGGAUUGCACGUCUAAGCAGUAAGGCUGAGUAUUAGGCAAAUCCGGUACUCAUUAAGGCUGAGCUGUGAUGGGGAGAAGACAUUGUGUCUUCGAGUCGUUGAUUUCACACUGCCGAGAAAAGCCUCUAGAUAGAAAAUAGGUGCCCGUACCGCAAACCGACACAGGUAGUCAAGAUGAGAAUUCUAAGGUGAGCGAGCGAACUCUCGUUAAGGAACUCGGCAAAAUGACCCCGUAACUUCGGGAGAAGGGGUGCUCUUUAGGGUUAACGCCCAGAAGAGCCGCAGUGAAUAGGCCCAAGCGACUGUUUAUCAAAAACACAGGUCUCUGCUAAACCGUAAGGUGAUGUAUAGGGGCUGACGCCUGCCCGGUGCUGGAAGGUUAAGAGGAGUGGUUAGCUUCUGCGAAGCUACGAAUCGAAGCCCCAGUAAACGGCGGCCGUAACUAUAACGGUCCUAAGGUAGCGAAAUUCCUUGUCGGGUAAGUUCCGACCCGCACGAAAGGCGUAACGAUUUGGGCACUGUCUCAACGAGAGACUCGGUGAAAUCAUAGUACCUGUGAAGAUGCAGGUUACCCGCGACAGGACGGAAAGACCCCGUGGAGCUUUACUGUAGCCUGAUAUUGAAAUUCGGCACAGCUUGUACAGGAUAGGUAGGAGCCUUUGAAACGUGAGCGCUAGCUUACGUGGAGGCGCUGGUGGGAUACUACCCUAGCUGUGUUGGCUUUCUAACCCGCACCACUUAUCGUGGUGGGAGACAGUGUCAGGCGGGCAGUUUGACUGGGGCGGUCGCCUCCUAAAAGGUAACGGAGGCGCUCAAAGGUUCCCUCAGAAUGGUUGGAAAUCAUUCAUAGAGUGUAAAGGCAUAAGGGAGCUUGACUGCGAGACCUACAAGUCGAGCAGGGUCGAAAGACGGACUUAGUGAUCCGGUGGUUCCGCAUGGAAGGGCCAUCGCUCAACGGAUAAAAGCUACCCCGGGGAUAACAGGCUUAUCUCCCCCAAGAGUUCACAUCGACGGGGAGGUUUGGCACCUCGAUGUCGGCUCAUCGCAUCCUGGGGCUGUAGUCGGUCCCAAGGGUUGGGCUGUUCGCCCAUUAAAGCGGUACGCGAGCUGGGUUCAGAACGUCGUGAGACAGUUCGGUCCCUAUCCGUCGUGGGCGUAGGAAAUUUGAGAGGAGCUGUCCUUAGUACGAGAGGACCGGGAUGGACAUACCUCUGGUGUACCAGUUGUCGUGCCAACGGCAUAGCUGGGUAGCUAUGUGUGGACGGGAUAAGUGCUGAAAGCAUCUAAGCAUGAAGCCCCCCUCAAGAUGAGAUUUCCCAACUUCGGUUAUAAGAUCCCUCAAAGAUGAUGAGGUUAAUAGGUUCGAGGUGGAAGCAUGGUGACAUGUGGAGCUGACGAAUACUAAU
This 2902-nucleotide ribosomal RNA is filed under the name Staphylococcus argenteus. RNAcentral describes it as "bacterial LSU rRNA". It matches the Rfam family "Bacterial large subunit ribosomal RNA". The record is from RNAcentral. Lineage: Bacteria; Bacillati; Bacillota; Bacilli; Caryophanales; Staphylococcaceae.